This is a non-coding RNA of Pelobates cultripes (western spadefoot toad), 128 nucleotides long. The record is from the annotation of a GenBank genome assembly. Lineage: Eukaryota; Metazoa; Chordata; Amphibia; Anura; Pelobatidae.
GAGGGGAAAGAGGAGUAAAAAAUAUAAUGUUGCAUAUGUAUUAAAAUUAUAUAAUUUUGCAUAUGUAUUAAUUUUAAUACAUAUGCAAAAUUAUAUUUUUUACUCCUCUUUCCCCUCUAUUUAUGUUU